UACAGAGGUCUCAAGCGUUGUUCGGAUUCAUUGGCGUAAAGGGUGCGUAGGUGGCGUCGUAAGUCGGGUGUGAAAUUUCGGAGCUUAACUCCGAAACUGCAUUCGAUACUGCGGUGCUUGAGGACUGGAGAGGAGACUGGAAUUUACGGUGUAGCAGUGAAAUGCGUAGAGAUCGUAAGGAAGACCAGUGGCGAAGGCGGGUCUCUGGACAGUUCCUGACACUGAGGCACGAAGGCCAGGGGAGCAAACGGG
Molecule: ribosomal RNA, 252 nt
Filed under: uncultured bacterium
Lineage: Bacteria
Description: partial 16S ribosomal RNA
Rfam family: Bacterial small subunit ribosomal RNA
Source: RNAcentral